Molecule: ribosomal RNA, 217 nt
Filed under: Clostridioides difficile
Lineage: Bacteria; Bacillati; Bacillota; Clostridia; Peptostreptococcales; Peptostreptococcaceae
Description: partial 23S ribosomal RNA
Rfam family: Bacterial large subunit ribosomal RNA
Source: RNAcentral
UUCCAAUCGAGCCCGGAGAUAGCUGGUUCUCCCCGAAAUAGCUUUAGGGCUAGCCUCAAGGUGAGAGAUACGGAGGUAGAGCACUGAAUGUCCUAGGGGGGAUUGCACCUACCGAAGACUAUCAAACUCCGAAUGCCGUCAUCUUAUACUUGGGAGUCAGACUGUGGGUGAUAAGAUUCAUAGUCGAAAGGGCAACAGCCCAGAUCGUCAGCUAAGG